UUGGUUAAGUUAGAAAGGGCGCACGGUGGAUGCCUUGGCACUAGGAGCCGAAGAAGGACGGGACUAACACCGAUAUGCUUUGGGGAGCUGUACGUAAGCGUUGAUCCAGAGAUUUCCGAAUGGGGGAACCCACUAUCUUUAGUCGGAUAGUAUCCUUACGUGAAUACAUAGCGUGAGGAAGGCAGACCCAGGGAACUGAAACAUCUAAGUACCUGGAGGAAGAGAAAGAAAAAUCGAUUUCCUGAGUAGCGGCGAGCGAAACGGAAAGAGCCCAAACCAAGAAGCUUGCUUCUUGGGGUUGUAGGACACUCUAUACGGAGUUACAAAAGAAAGUUAUAAAUGAAGCGGUCUGGAAAGGCCCGCCAAAGACGGUAACAGCCCGGUAGUUGAAAUGGCUUUCCCUCCAGAGUGGAUCCUGAGUACGGCGGAACACGUGAAAUUCCGUCGGAAUCCGGGAGGACCAUCUCCCAAGGCUAAAUACUCCCUAGUGACCGAUAGUGAACCAGUACCGUGAGGGAAAGGUGAAAAGCACCCCGGAAGGGGAGUGAAACAGUUCCUGAAACCGUGUGCCUACAAGUAGUUAGAGCCCGUUAAUGGGUGAUAGCGUGCCUUUUGUAGAAUGAACCGGCGAGUUACGAUUUGUUGCAAGGUUAAGCGGAAAAAGCGGAGCCGUAGCGAAAGCGAGUCUGAAUAGGGCGCAUAAGUAACAGGUCGUAGACCCGAAACCAGGUGAUCUACCCAUGUCCAGGAUGAAGGUAAGGUAAUACUUACUGGAGGUCCGAACCCACGCACGUUGAAAAGUGCGGGGAUGAGGUGUGGGUAGCGGAGAAAUUCCAAUCGAACUUGGAGAUAGCUGGUUCUCUCCGAAAUAGCUUUAGGGCUAGCCUCGAGGUAAAGAGUCAUGGAGGUAGAGCACUGUUUGGACUAGGGGCCCUUCUCGGGUUACCGAAUUCAGAUAAACUCCGAAUGCCAUGUACUUAUACUCGGGAGUCAGACUGCGAGUGAUAAGAUCCGUAGUCGAAAGGGAAACAGCCCAGACCACCAGUUAAGGUCCCCAAAUAUAUGUUAAGUGGAAAAGGAUGUGGGGUUGCUUAGACAACCAGGAUGUUGGCUUAGAAGCAGCCACCAUUGAAAGAGUGCGUAAUAGCUCACUGGUCGAGUGACCCCGCGCCGAAAAUGUACCGGGGCUAAACAUAUUACCGAAACUGUGGAUGAACCUCUUUAGAGGUUCGUGGUAGGAGAGCGUUCUAAGGGCGGUGAAGUCAGACCGGAAGGACUGGUGGAGCGCUUAGAAGUGAGAAUGCCGGUAUGAGUAGCGAAAGAAGGGUGAGAAUCCCUUCCACCGAAUAUCUAAGGUUUCCUGAGGAAGGCUCGUCCGCUCAGGGUUAGUCGGGACCUAAGCCGAGGCCGAUAGGCGUAGGCGAUGGACAACAGGUAGAGAUUCCUGUACCAGUGCUAAUUGUUUAACCGAUGGGGUGACACAGAAGGAUAGGGAAUCGCACGAAUGGAAAUGUGCGUCCAAGCAGUGAGUGUGAGAAGUAGGCAAA
RNAcentral lists this ribosomal RNA (1547 nucleotides) under Listeria monocytogenes. RNAcentral's name for it is "partial 23S ribosomal RNA". It matches the Rfam family "Bacterial large subunit ribosomal RNA", at positions 1 to 1540 of the family's 2925-position model. The record is from RNAcentral. Lineage: Bacteria; Bacillati; Bacillota; Bacilli; Caryophanales; Listeriaceae.